This 445-nucleotide ribosomal RNA is filed under the name Pirateolea piscator. RNAcentral's name for it is "partial 16S large subunit ribosomal RNA". Lineage: Eukaryota; Metazoa; Arthropoda; Insecta; Lepidoptera; Noctuidae. The record is from RNAcentral.
UCCCCACUGAUUUAAUAAUUGAAGGGCUGCAGUAUAUUGACUGUACAAAGGUAGCAUAAUCAUUAGUCAUUUAAUUGAUGACUUGUAUGAAGGAUUGGAUGAAAUAUAAUCUGUCUCUUAAUUAAUAAUAGAAUUUAAUUUUUUAAUUAAAAAGUUAAGAUGGUUUAAAAAGACGAGAAGACCCUAUAGAGUUUAAUAAAUAAAUUAUUUGAUAUUAUUUAUAAUUAUAAAAUUGAAAUUAAUUUAUUUAUUUUGUUGGGGUGAUAAAAAAAUAUAAAAAACUUUUUUUUUUAGCUAACAUUUAUAAGUGAUUAAAUGAUCCAAUAUUAUUGAUUAUAAGAAUAAAUUACCUUAGGGAUAACAGCGUAAUUUUUUUUUUUAGUUCAUAUAAGAAAAAGAGUUUGCGACCUCGAUGUUGGAUUAAGAUAAAAUUUAAAUGCAGAAG